GACGAACGCUGGCGGCGUGCUUAACACAUGCAAGUCGAACGGAAAGGCCCUGCUUUUGUGGGGUGCUCGAGUGGCGAACGGGUGAGUAACACGUGAGUAACCUGCCCUUGACUUUGGGAUAACUUCAGGAAACUGGGGCUAAUACCGGAUAGGAGCUCCUGCUGCAUGGUGGGGGUUGGAAAGUUUCGGCGGUUGGGGAUGGACUCGCGGCUUAUCAGCUUGUUGGUGGGGUAGUGGCUUACCAAGGCUUUGACGGGUAGCCGGCCUGAGAGGGUGACCGGCCACAUUGGGACUGAGGUACGGCCCAGACUCCUACGGGAGGCAGCAGUGGGGAAUAUUGCACAAUGGGCGGAAGCCUGAUGCAGCAACGCCGCGUGCGGGAUGACGGCCUGCGGGUUGUAAACCGCUUUAGCCUGUGACGAAGCGUGAGUGACGGUAAUGGGUAAAGAAGCACCGGCUAACUACGUG
This 468-nucleotide ribosomal RNA is filed under the name uncultured bacterium. RNAcentral describes it as "partial 16S ribosomal RNA". It matches the Rfam family "Bacterial small subunit ribosomal RNA", at positions 28 to 507 of the family's 1533-position model. The record is from RNAcentral.